GUGAGCUGGGGAGCUGGGUGAACGAGGAAGCCCUCGCUCUCUGGGGCAGAGAUGGGGGUCACAGGAUGCAGCCAGCUCUCUCCCACGGGACACCCGGUGUGGGUGGACUUGGGGGUUGAAACGGUGGGGCAAACCUCAGACCCAUCCUCAAAAGGGGCCUGGCCCCUGGGCCCCCUUUGCCGGGACCCCGUCGUUAGGGACGCUGGCUCCUUCCCUGUCCCAGGGGAGGGUCGAUCACUCAGAAAUGGUGUCCCUGGGGCAGGAGGAGGUGGCGUUCCCGUCCUGGUGCUGGUGGAGCCCUCAGAGCCUUGGGUCUGCGGGUCACUGUGGUGACGGCCCCAAGGGCAGCUGGCACCUCCUAGGCUGCCCCUGGGACCCCAGGCCUCUGACCCGGCCCCUCCUCUCUUGCAGUUCAUGGCCUCCCACGGGAACGACGCCGCGAGAGCCAGGUUUGAGUCCAAAGUACCCUCCUUCUACUACCGGCCCACGCCCUCCGACUGCCAGCUCCUUCGAGAGCAGUGGAUCCGGGCCAAGUACGAGCGACAGGAGUUCAUCUACCCGGAGAAGCAGGAGCCCUACUCGGCAG
Molecule: long non-coding RNA, 586 nt
Filed under: Homo sapiens (human)
Lineage: Eukaryota; Metazoa; Chordata; Mammalia; Primates; Hominidae
Description: non-protein coding lnc-C7orf50-3:2
Source: RNAcentral